This 446-nucleotide ribosomal RNA is filed under the name uncultured Rickettsiaceae bacterium. RNAcentral describes it as "bacterial SSU rRNA". It matches the Rfam family "Bacterial small subunit ribosomal RNA", at positions 29 to 505 of the family's 1533-position model. Lineage: Bacteria; Pseudomonadati; Pseudomonadota; Alphaproteobacteria; Rickettsiales; Rickettsiaceae. The record is from RNAcentral.
AACGAACGCUGGCGGUAUGCUUAACACAUGCAAGUCGAACGAGUAUGGCCUAGCUUGCUAGGACCCAGCUAGUGGCAAACGGGUGAGUAACGCGUGGGAAACUACCUUUUAGUAUGGGAUAACUAUUGGAAACGAUAGCUAAUACCGUAUACGCCCUCCGGGGGAAAGAUUUAUCGCUAAAAGAUGUGCCCGCGUUAGAUUAGCUUGUUGGUGAGGUAAUGGCUCACCAAGGCGACGAUCUAUAGCUGGUUUGAGAGGAUGAUCAGCCACACUGGAACUGAGACACGGUCCAGACUCCUACGGGAGGCAGCAGUGGGGAAUAUUGGACAAUGGGCGAAAGCCUGAUCCAGCAAUACCGCGUGAGUGAUGAAGGCCCUAGGGUUGUAAAACUCUUUCAGUAGGGAAGAUAAUGACGGUACCUACAGAAGAAGCACCGGCUAACUCCG